Long non-coding RNA from Apis dorsata (giant honeybee), 1176 nucleotides. RefSeq lists it as uncharacterized. The transcript is spliced from 2 exons. The record is from RefSeq and is a predicted model, not a curated record. Lineage: Eukaryota; Metazoa; Arthropoda; Insecta; Hymenoptera; Apidae.
AAUUAACGAAUCGAUAGAAUAACUUUAAAAAGAAAUUAAAUUUAAAUUCAUUUAGUAAACGAACUUUUCCAUCUUAACACAAAUUAUUAAUUAUUAUUGUAACAAUAGCAUUAAGUUACAGUUUGUAAUACGAAAAAAAAAUGUGCGCACUUGCGCAAAACGGAAACGAUAAUUACCAUAGGGAAAUAAUACGAAAGUUACGAAGGAAGAAAUUCUAUAGUCUGGUAAACCGCAAGUGGACCAAUGAAGAGGUUGAAUCAUGAGUGGCGAGAGGAACAAUAAAUCCUUCAUAUCGCACUGAGUAUUAUAAUUAAUGAACCCUUGAAAAUGGAAAAAAAUUAGGAAGAAGGAAAAUACGAUUGAAACGAGAGAUCGUGCUUCAAAUUACGACAAGUUGAUGUAGUCAAGGUAAAAUGCGAUUAUAACCUCAUAAAUUAAAUCGUUCUCAAAUUUUUUUUUGAGAUGAAAUACAUUUAUAAGUUUUUGUUAAAUCAAAUUUAAUAAAUCUCUUUUAAAUCUAUCAUUUUGAACACGUAAAUGUACAUAAUAUGUAUCAUUUAUGUCAUCUGUCAUUUUAUGUAGAAAGAUUAUAAACGAAUUUCAUAAAUAUAUAUUUCGAUUAUGACAAGGUGCAUGCACAAUGUAACUUUGCAGCUGCAUGUAUGAUACAUGUCACAGAAUUGGUUGCAGUGACAUGAUCAUAGCAAAUCCUAUAACUGUAAAUAUUUUACACAUGAUUCUCGUGUGCAUCGUUCCGCUACAUGAACGUGUAUAACGUGUCAAUGGCAGCCGUUAUCUUAUUGGUCGUUCUAUUAACCCAUGAAACAAACAAGGCCUACCGUGCUCGUAUAACAUCGCGGUAUACAUCAUCGAUGGACUGCUUCCAAUAAACUAUAGCAGCAGUUUCUGCCAAGUCAUUAAUCAUUCAGAAGACGGUGCCAAAGAGAGUAAUAUCGAAUAGUACGGAAACUGAAAUCCCUUUGGACUAAUCGUUUAAAAGUUUCUUCCAACACAAAAUUCCUACAUGCAUAAUUCAUAUAAUAGCAAUUCCUUUUCUCAAUUAAAUUUAAUUAUGUAAUUAUUUGAAAUUUAUUAUCAACAUCUGAUUCAACAUUACUAUUCGUAUUUAAUGUGGAUUGUAUUUAUAUAGUUGUAUAUGAAAAUUAGUAAAUAAGA